CCUACGGGAGGCAGCAGUGGGGAAUAUUGCGCAAUGGGCGAAAGCCUGACGCAGCGACGCCGCGUGAGGGAUGAAGGUCUUCGGAUCGUAAACCUCUGUCAGCAGGGAAGAACGGUCACUGUGCUAAUCAGCAGUGAAUUGACGGUACCUGCAAAGGAAGCACCGGCUAACUCCGUGCCAGCAGCCACGGUAAUACGGAGGGUGCGAUCGUUAAUCGGAAUUACUGGGCGUAAGGCGCUCGUAGGCGGUAUGUCAAGUCAAGGGUGAAAUCCCCGCGCUAAACGUGGGAACUGCCUUUGAAACUGGCAAACUGGAGUGUGGAAGAGGAUAGUGGAAUUCCAGGUGUAGGAGUGAAAUCCGUAGAUAUC
RNAcentral lists this ribosomal RNA (368 nucleotides) under uncultured bacterium. Its description in RNAcentral is "partial 16S ribosomal RNA". It matches the Rfam family "Bacterial small subunit ribosomal RNA", at positions 338 to 698 of the family's 1533-position model. The record is from RNAcentral.